UACGGGGGGGGCAAGCGUUGUCCGGAUUUAUUGGGCGUAAAGAGCGUGUAGGCGGUCAGGUAGGUCGGUUGUGAAAACUGGAGGCUCAACCUUCAGAGGUCGACCGAAACCCCCUGGCUAGAGUCCGGGAGAGGAGAGUGGAAUUCCUGGUGUAGCGGUGAAAUGCGCAGAUAUCAGGAAGAACACCCGUGGCGAAAGCGGCUCUCUGGAACGGUACUGACGCUGAGACGCGAAAGCGUGGGGAGCGAACAGG
Molecule: ribosomal RNA, 253 nt
Filed under: uncultured bacterium
Lineage: Bacteria
Description: partial 16S ribosomal RNA
Rfam family: Bacterial small subunit ribosomal RNA
Source: RNAcentral